Molecule: non-coding RNA, 80 nt
Organism: Podarcis lilfordi (Lilford's wall lizard)
Lineage: Eukaryota; Metazoa; Chordata; Lepidosauria; Squamata; Lacertidae
Source: the annotation of a GenBank genome assembly
GAUAGCUCAGUUGGUUAGAGACUGGUGCUGAUAACACCAAGGUCGCAGGUUCAAUCCCCACAAAGCCCCUGCCAAUACCU